Molecule: ribosomal RNA, 255 nt
Filed under: uncultured bacterium
Lineage: Bacteria
Description: partial 16S ribosomal RNA
Rfam family: Bacterial small subunit ribosomal RNA
Source: RNAcentral
CGGACGGGUGAGUAACGCGUGGAUAACCUGCCUCAUACAGGGGGAUAACAGUUAGAAAUGACUGCUAAUACCGCAUAAGCACACGGGAGCGCAUGCUUCCGGGUGAAAAGCUCCGGCGGUAUGAGAUGGAUCCGCGUCUGAUUAGCUGGUUGGCGGGGUAACGGCCCACCAAGGCGACGAUCAGUAGCCGACCUGAGAGGGUGGCCGGCCACAUUGGGACUGAGACACGGCCCAAACUCCUACGGGAGGCAGCAG